RNAcentral lists this ribosomal RNA (237 nucleotides) under uncultured bacterium. RNAcentral's name for it is "partial 16S ribosomal RNA". It matches the Rfam family "Bacterial small subunit ribosomal RNA", at positions 99 to 334 of the family's 1533-position model. The record is from RNAcentral.
CGGACGGGUGGAGUAAGCGUGGGAACCGUGCCGUUGUACUGGGGGCGAACAGUUAGAAAUGACUGCUAAUACCGCAUAAGCGCACAGUAAUCGCAUGAUACGGUGUGAAAAGCUCCGGUGGUACAAGAUGGACCCGCGUCUGAUUAGCUAGUUGGUAAGGUAACGGCUUACCAAGGCGACGAUCAGUAGCCGACCUGAGAGGGUGACCGGCCACAUUGGGACUGAGACACGGCCCAA